UUCAAGUGAAUUUGUUCUUUGACUGCAAUAACAUAGCCAAAAUUCCAGUUAUCAACUUAUAACCUUUGUCUCUUAAGAUAGAAGAAUGAUUAAUAUGAGUAUGUGACUAGACAUAAGCUGUAAUUUUUUAUAUUCUUCUAGAAACGAGGUAAGAUGCUGAACAAUGAACCUGUCCAACUUUUAAAGUUUCAUGGGGCAGAGACCGUGAAAAGUAUAUGGAAGCCACAAUAUGGAAUUUGCAACAGCAGUAGCAGUUUUUUUCCUGUCUUUAGAAAAAAGCAACAAAGUUCAUAUUGUUCACGUUGACAAAAUCCACAAAAAUAUAUGUUACACUGUCAAUAGAUUCAAACCAGUGUACUUAUAUAUCUGGCGUAGGCUGAUUUGCAUACUUAUAAUGACUCCCCUCUGCAUAUAUAUGCAUGGUGUUUCUACUUUUGAUCAAUGAGACUUGCCAUGUCUACUUCUUCAAAGAGCAUCAUCUGUUACAGCGAAGAAGAUACUGAACUUAGAAGAGGGCCAUGGAGUAUUGAAGAGGAUGAUCUUCUUGGCAAUUACAUUGCCAAUCAUGGAGAAGGGAGAUGGAAUUUGGUUGCUAUACGUGCAGGUAAUCAAAGAUAAGAAUAAAAAGAAACCUUGUUGGUGGUAAUCUAUUUGGUAUUUUUUAUAUUGUUGUGAACAAUUUGCAUGCUAAUUCUGAUUACUUUCUUUAUCUUUUGUGAUGACUAAAUUUUCUCAAGGAUUAAGGAGAACAGGAAAGAGUUGCAGAUUAAGGUGGCUAAAUUAUCUAAAGCCAGAUGUUAAACGAGGCAAUUUAACCUCAGAGGAGCAGCUUUUGAUUUUUGAACUCCACUCAAAGUGGGGUAACAGGUGCAUAUCUCAUAUUUACUUCUCUUUAGUGAAACUGUGCUUAUUCAAACGCUUUUUAUUGUUGAGAAAGAAGCAAAACGGGCCACUAACCAUGUGCUAGUCAAAUUCAGAAUAAUAUCCUUUCUUUGGAUUCUUAUUCCCACUUAUGUGAUUGUUGUAGGUGGUCAAAAAUUGCACAACAGCUGCCAGGCAGAACAGACAAUGAAAUAAAGAACUAUUGGAGAACAAGGAUUCAGAAACAAGCGAGAUAUAUGAAAUCUGAGACACAGAGAACAACAGGAUUUGUAGAAUUUUUCAAGGGUCUACAGAUGACAAGAUGUCUUCAUAAAGCACAAGAAUCAUCUCCUUCAGCCAUGUCACUCCAAGACCAAGAAAUUCCUAUGCCUUCUGAUGGUGGUUCUCACUAUUCAUCAUUUGGGAUUGAGGCAACACCAGAAACACAACAUUUGAAUCAGCAUGAGCAGAACUCAGACUCUGAGCACAACAAUGGUUCAAGCAUUUCCAAUUCAGAAUCAGUAAAUAUCCAAUAUAUGACUCAGCCUUUAGGGUGCACUACAAAUCAAUUCCAGGCCUUAGACAACUAUGAUUUUGGCAUCUGUUCAUAUGAUAGCUACAACAUAGAUAACAGUGCCUAUGACAUGGAUUCAUUCAACCUGGCAGCCACAAUGGAUGCUCAGAAUCUGACACUCCCAGUUAUUGGUUGCCAAAUAUCAGAAACCAACUCGCUAAAUAUGGAAUCUGAAUGCAGCACAAGGAGCAAUGAUGAAUUAUGGCAAUUUAUGAACAUAUAAAUAAGAAUAUUUAGAUUUUAGAGCACUCUUUCAAAACUUUCUUUCAUAUGUAGUGUUUGCUAUUAGAUAGAUAAUCAAUAUAAAUGUAAAGACUAAUUGUUUUAUAAUUUAAAGUACACCAGGAUAUGUUUCUGUUUUGCAUAUUUAACUUCUCUGAAUUGAAUACUGUGAUGAGUGCAUUUUUCGAAUGAGUUGGAAAUUUGAAAGGGCGUAGAUAUUCACAAGACCAUAAUAUAAAAAUUGAAAAUUUGAGUGUAAAACCACAACACUGUCAAAGAUUUCAUAAAUUUCUUAAAUGUGCUUGAACAGUCAAGACUUGAAUUUGAAUCUAGGACUACAGCUGGAAGGGAAUGUAUACAAAUUUUAUGGACAUUUCAAAAUAACCAUUUUUUUCAAACCUUGAUCGGAAGAUUACUUUUUCAGUUCAAGUCAGAGUGCAGCCACCGCCAACUUUGAUGGAACAGAUGAUUCAUCGAGAAGAAAGCGAAAAUUUGCAAACGACUAUGAAACAUCUACUUUUGAAAUCUAUUCUCAUAAUUUUCUUCUCUGUACGGUCUUCGUA
Molecule: long non-coding RNA, 2220 nt
Filed under: Vigna radiata
Lineage: Eukaryota; Viridiplantae; Streptophyta; Magnoliopsida; Fabales; Fabaceae
Description: long non-coding RNA (VRAD_LNC000191)
Source: RNAcentral